RNAcentral lists this ribosomal RNA (254 nucleotides) under uncultured bacterium. RNAcentral describes it as "partial small subunit ribosomal RNA". It matches the Rfam family "Bacterial small subunit ribosomal RNA", at positions 26 to 286 of the family's 1533-position model. The record is from RNAcentral.
AGGACGAACGCUGGCGGCGUGCUUAACACAUGCAAGUCGAGCGGAAAGGCCCUUCGGGGUACUCGAGCGGCGAACGGGUGAGUAACACGUGAGUAAUCUGCCCCUAGCUCUGGGAUAGCUCCGGGAAACCGGGAUUAAUACUGGAUACGACCACCUUAGACAUCUUUUGUGGUGGAAAGAAUUUCGGCUAGGGAUGAGCUCGCGGCCUAUCAGCUUGUUGGUGGGUAACGGCCUACCAAGGCGACGACGGGUAG